RNAcentral lists this small RNA (148 nucleotides) under Pongo abelii (Sumatran orangutan). RNAcentral's name for it is "Metazoan signal recognition particle RNA (ENSPPYG00000041692.1)". Lineage: Eukaryota; Metazoa; Chordata; Mammalia; Primates; Hominidae. The record is from Rfam by way of RNAcentral.
GCCGGGAGUGGUGGUGUGCACCUGUAGUCCCAGCUACUCAGGAGGCCGAGGUGGGAGAAUUGCUUGAACCCAGGAGGCAGAGGUUGCAGUGAGCCAAGAUUGCGCCACGGCACUCCAGCCUGGGUGACAGAGCAAGACUCCAUCUCUU